CCCUUAGAUGCUCUGGGCCGCACGCGCGCUAAACUGGUCGAUGCAACGAGUUUCUUUCCUUGGCCGACAGGCCUGGGCAAUCUUUGAACAUCGAUCGUGAUCGGGAUAGAUUCUUGUAAUUUUUGAUCUUAAACGAGGAAUUCCUAGUAAACGCAAGUCAUCAGCUUGCAUUGAUUACGUCCCUGCCCUUUGUACACACCGCCCGUCGCACCUACCGAUUGAAUGGUCCGGUGAAAUCUCGGGACGGCGGCUUGGUCGCUUGCGUCCGACUGCUGAAACUUGAUUAAACCAUAUCAUUUAGAGGAAGGUGAAGUCGUAACA
Molecule: ribosomal RNA, 321 nt
Filed under: uncultured eukaryote
Lineage: Eukaryota
Description: partial 18S ribosomal RNA
Rfam family: Eukaryotic small subunit ribosomal RNA
Source: RNAcentral